RNAcentral lists this ribosomal RNA (250 nucleotides) under uncultured bacterium. Its description in RNAcentral is "partial 16S ribosomal RNA". It matches the Rfam family "Bacterial small subunit ribosomal RNA", at positions 524 to 773 of the family's 1533-position model. The record is from RNAcentral.
UACAGAGGUGGCAAGCGUUGUUCGGAUUUAUUGGGCGUAAAGGGUCCGUAGGCGGUCCGUAAAGUUGGAUGUGAAAUCCCACAGCUUAACUGUGGAACUGCAUUCAAAACUCACGGACUAGAGUAUGGAAGGGGUGAGGGGAAUUCCCGGUGUAAGGGUGAAAUCUGCAGAGAUCGGGAGGAACACCAGUCGCGAAGGCGCCUCACUGGUCCAUUACUGACGCUCAGGGACGAAAGCUAGGGGAGCGAAC